GUGGGGAAUAUUGGACAAUGGGGGGAACCCUGAUCCAGCCAUGCCGCGUGUGUGAAGAAGGCCUUUUGGUUGUAAAGCACUUUAAGCGAGGAGGAGGCUACCGAGAUUAAUACUCUUGGAUAGUGGACGUUACUCGCAGAAUAAGCACCGGCUAACUCUGUGCCAGCAGCCGCGGUAAUACAGAGGGUGCAAGCGUUAAUCGGAUUUACUGGGCGUAAAGCGCGCGUAGGUGGCCAAUUAAGGCAAAUGUGAAAUCCCCGAGCUUAACUUGGGAAUUGCAUUCGAUACUGGUUGGCUAGAGUAUGGGAGAGGAUGGUAGAAUUCCAGGUGUAGCGGUGAAAUGCGUAGAGAUCUGGAGGAAUACCGAUGGCGAAGGCAGCCAUCUGGCCUAAUACUGACACUGAGGUGCGAAAGCAUGGGGAGCAAACAGGAUUAGAUACCCGUGUAGUCC
RNAcentral lists this ribosomal RNA (451 nucleotides) under uncultured bacterium. RNAcentral's name for it is "partial 16S ribosomal RNA". It matches the Rfam family "Bacterial small subunit ribosomal RNA", at positions 354 to 796 of the family's 1533-position model. The record is from RNAcentral.